RNAcentral lists this ribosomal RNA (495 nucleotides) under uncultured bacterium. RNAcentral's name for it is "partial 16S ribosomal RNA". It matches the Rfam family "Bacterial small subunit ribosomal RNA", at positions 28 to 507 of the family's 1533-position model. The record is from RNAcentral.
GACGAACGCUGGCGGCGUGCCUAAUACAUGCAAGUAGAACGCUGAAGGAGGAGCUUGCUUCUCUGGAUGAGUUGCGAACGGGUGAGUAACGCGUAGGUAACCUGCCUGGUAGCGGGGGAUAACUAUUGGAAACGAUAGCUAAUACCGCAUAAUAGUAGAUGUCGCAUGACAUUUGCUUAAAAGGUGCAAUUGCAUCACUACCAGAUGGACCUGCGUUGUAUUAGCUAGUUGGUGAGGUAACGGCUCACCAAGGCAACGAUACAUAGCCGACCUGAGAGGGUGAUCGGCCACACUGGGACUGAGACACGGCCCAGACUCCUACGGGAGGCAGCAGUAGGGAAUCGUCGGCAAUGGACGGAAGUCUGACCGAGCAACGCCGCGUGAGUGAAGAAGGUUUUCGGAUCGUAAAGCUCUGUUGUAAGAGAAGAAAGAGGGUGAGAGUGGAAAGUUCACACUGUGACGGUAUCUUAACAGAAAGGGACGGCUAACUACGUG